GGCGGACUGGCGUAAUGGUUAACGCGCCAGUUUCCGGUGUGGAGCUUUCUGCAACCGAGCUGGAGAUUUCUGGGUUCGAGUCCCAGGUUCGUCG
This 94-nucleotide transfer RNA is filed under the name Agaricus bisporus var. burnettii. It matches the Rfam family "tRNA". Rfam says of the family: Transfer RNA (tRNA) molecules are approximately 80 nucleotides in length. Their secondary structure includes four short double-helical elements and three loops (D, anti-codon, and T loops). Further hydrogen bonds mediate the characteristic L-shaped molecular structure. tRNAs have two regions of fundamental functional importance: the anti-codon, which is responsible for specific mRNA codon recognition, and the 3' end, to which the tRNAs corresponding amino acid is attached (by aminoacyl-tRNA synthetases). tRNAs cope with the degeneracy of the genetic code in two manners: having more than one tRNA (with a specific anti-codon) for a particular amino acid; and 'wobble' base-pairing, i.e. permitting non-standard base-pairing at the 3rd anti-codon position. The record is from Rfam by way of RNAcentral. RNAcentral also lists the same sequence under 2 other names. Lineage: Eukaryota; Fungi; Basidiomycota; Agaricomycetes; Agaricales; Agaricaceae.